GGUGGUNCACGCCGUAAACGAUGAGUGCUAGGUGUUAGACCCUUUCCGGGGUUUAGUGCCGUAGCUAACGCAUUAAGCACUCCGCCUGGGGAGCACGACCGCAAGGUUGAAACUCAAAGGAAUUGACGGGGGCCCGCACAAGCGGUGGAGCAUGUGGUUUAAUUCGAAGCAACGCGAAGAACCUUACCAGGUCUUGACAUCCCUCUGACCGCUCUAGAGAUAGAGCUUUCCUUCGGGACAGAGGUGACAGGUGGUGCAUGGUUGUCGUCAGCUCGUGUCGUGAGAUGUUGGGUUANNNNNNNNNACGAGCGCAACCCCUAUUGUUAGUUGCCAUCAUUCAGUUGGGCACUCUAGCGAGACUGCCGGUAAUAAACCGGAGGAAGGUGGGGAUGACGUCAAAUCAUCAUGCCCCUUAUGACCUGGGCUACACACGUGCUACAAUGGCUGGUACAACGAGUCGCAAGCCGGUGACGGCAAGCUAAUCUCUUAAAGCCAGUCUCAGUUCGGAUUGUAGGCUGCAACU
RNAcentral lists this ribosomal RNA (523 nucleotides) under uncultured bacterium. RNAcentral's name for it is "bacterial SSU rRNA". It matches the Rfam family "Bacterial small subunit ribosomal RNA", at positions 789 to 1312 of the family's 1533-position model. The record is from RNAcentral.